CUGUUCUGUUGCCCUCACAGCUGUAGCCACUUUCUCCUCCGUAGCAGGGUGCUACUGCUGUCUGGUUGUUGCGUGGAACGUGCUGUCUCAUACCCUUCUCUGAAAGCUGCAGAGUAAAGUGCACUGGGUCUGAUCUGCGGCCCAGGGAGGGAGAGAGAGAGCAGCUCCUCAUUUAGCUGCUCCUGUGCGUACUCCACCCUAAGCUGCGCCAAACAGCUUUUGGAUCAAAUUGGCAAUCAUUUAUUCAGGGAGCUCUCAUCUGGAGCUCAGUCCAGGCUCAAAACCACAUGUUUAAAUCACUGCAAAGUGGUGAAGUCCAAGUUCUGUUGUUUACAGAAAGAUGAGAGAUUAAAUGACCCUUUACAAAUCGCUGCCCAGUGUUGAACAAUCCAUUUGCUUCUGUGUAGUUUUUGAGGGCUUAGAAUGAAUUCUGUUUUUCUAUAAGUAUCUUUGGUGUGACCUGGGAGUCUGUGCUGAAGACUGAGAUACUGUAGGUCUGGGUAGACUUUUAGUGCUUAAGAUAUUUGUACAUAGCAGAAUAAUGCAGCUGUGCUUUUUAUUCCAUUUGAUCCGAUCAUCAUCUGAUUCACCUUGAGCUUUUAUCGUCUGAUUACUCCCUUGAAAGUGCGUUGUGUGUUAAAGCAACUCAUUGUUAUUCUAUAGUUACACUCAUCACCACAUUCUAGCUGAUGGGGAUUUUAUUUUGUUUCAAACGCUGUGUGACGAAUACCAAUAACCUCCCUUGAUCUGCUUCAUCCACAGAGGCAUCUGCCUAUGCGGUUUUCUUUCCAUGUCCAUGUGCACAAAACAAAAACAUUACUGCACUCCCGUAACUACCCAGCCGGUUAUGUGGAUCAGGCCAAGAAGUCUCUGUGAACCAGCUGUUCCAGAUGUUGCCAGCACUGCAUUUUGCAUGUGUGGCUCUGGAAUCCCCGAGUUGCUGCUUUGGACGGUAUUGAUCUGAAGAUGGUGAGGGGUGGAAAUCAGACCAAGCCUCUUUGUGGAUCCAUUUGCUAAGGAAACUGCGUAGAAAGACCCAAAACCAUUCAGAAAUUGAAUUUCAAGUCUCAGCUCUAUAUUGGGGCAGGCUGAUCAGUGAGAAGAGUAGAAUUCUGGCAGAGAUUGAUCGCUGUCAGAAGGAACAUGGUUAGGGGAAGAGGAUUAUGUCAGGCAUUUAUUUGCAGGUCAUGAUAACGUGGUUGGUUCAGGCCUCCAUUUUACUUUGGAAAGGCAAAGACUCCUGUGGUUUGCUGGCUCCGCUGCAUGGUUAUCUCCACAUGAAUUUUAUGCUGCAGAUUGUGCCAACAGAAGCAGUGCCAGAUUAGAACAGCCAAAUGGAGAUACAGGAGGCUGCAGAAGCCUGAAAGCUAGAGCAGAAAAACAACACACUGGAGAAAUUCAGUGUGUCAGGCAACAUCUGUGUGGGGAAAAUGGGCAGUCAACACUUUGGGUUGAGACACUUCAGUGAGACUGAAAUCUGGUCCAGAGGAAGGGUCUCGACCCAAAACGUCGACUGUAUAUUUCCAACCACAGAAACUCUCUAACCCAUUGAAUUCUUCCUCAAUCAUUUUAUUUGUUAAAACAGGUCACAUGGCUUGUAAUACCAUUCAAAUUUCAAAAUAAAUUUGUUACCAAGUUUUGAAUUUUCCCAGGCAUUGUCAUCUAUACACAGAGGCAAUAAUCCUCUUUCCAAAAUUAUUCAGAUUUCUAGUAUCACAAUAUCAGAUUCAGUUCAUUGUCAACCGCUCAGAAUCAUAGCCUUGGGAGUGGAACUGGUAGACAAUUACAUGUUUAAAGAAUUACAUUAGUUUCAUUAGUAUCUGUAGCAGAUAUACAGAAAUGGACCAGGAGAUCAGAG
Long non-coding RNA from Hypanus sabinus (Atlantic stingray), 1858 nucleotides. RefSeq lists it as uncharacterized. The record is from RefSeq and is a predicted model, not a curated record. NCBI's taxonomy places the organism in Eukaryota, Metazoa, Chordata, Chondrichthyes, Myliobatiformes, Dasyatidae. The transcript is spliced from 3 exons.